CACGUAGGGCGCAAGCGUUGUCCGGAAUUAUUGGGCGUAAAGAGCUCGUAGGCGGACUGUCACGUCUGCUGUGAAAAGCUGGGGCUUAACCCUGGCCUUGCAGUGGAUACGGGCAGACUAGAGGUAGGUAGGGGAGAAUGGAAUUCCCGGUGUAGCGGUGAAAUGCGCAGAUAUCAGGAGGAACACCGAUGGCGAAGGCAGGUCUCUGGGCAUUAACUGACGCUGAGGAGCGAAAGCAUGGGGAGCGAACAGG
RNAcentral lists this ribosomal RNA (253 nucleotides) under uncultured bacterium. RNAcentral describes it as "partial 16S ribosomal RNA". It matches the Rfam family "Bacterial small subunit ribosomal RNA", at positions 524 to 776 of the family's 1533-position model. The record is from RNAcentral.